Molecule: ribosomal RNA, 429 nt
Filed under: Pseudomonadota bacterium
Lineage: Bacteria; Pseudomonadati; Pseudomonadota
Description: Proteobacteria bacterium partial 16S ribosomal RNA
Rfam family: Bacterial small subunit ribosomal RNA
Source: RNAcentral
UGGGGAAUAUUGGACAAUGGGCGAAAGCCUGAUCCAGCCAUGCCGCGUGUGUGAAGAAGGUCUUCGGAUUGUAAAGCACUUUAAGUUGGGAGGAAGGGCAGUAAGCGAAUACCUUGCUGUUUUGACGUUACCGACAGAAUAAGCACCGGCUAACUCUGUGCCAGCAGCCGCGGUAAUACAGAGGGUGCGAGCGUUAAUCGGAUUUACUGGGCGUAAAGCGUGCGUAGGCGGCUAAUUGAGACGGAUGUGAAAUCCCCGAGCUUAACUUGGGAAUUGCAUUCGAUACUGGUUAGCUAGAGUGUGGGAGAGGAUGGUAGAAUUCCAGGUGUAGCGGUGAAAUGCGUAGAGAUCUGGAGGAAUACCGAUGGCGAAGGCAGCCAUCUGGCCUAACACUGACGCUGAGGUACGAAAGCAUGGGGAGCAAACAGG